GAGCCUUCAUCACGGUGCUGUGGAGUUGAACUCAGGAAGCACCGGCGCCCAGUCAGGGUACACGUCCAGAGAGAAUAAGGGGACUCCCCACGUGGCCACGGCCAACAGGACAGCCAGGACGCCGAUCACAUUGACGCCGAGCCCCGCCUUCACCUGCAGCGGCCAUCAGGCGAACACGAUGGCGUUUGGCGGGUUGGACACUGGGAGCAGGAAGGAGAAGGACGUGCACAGGGUGGUGGGGAUCAGGACGUACAGCGGGUUGACGUGGAUGGCCUCCGCCUGAAGGGAACACAAACAUCUGUAUGUAUGUUCUGUCCCAUUAGCCAAGUAUGCAAGAAUAUGGGGAAGUGCGGGAUGAAGAGUAAGAACAGAACCGAAGG
This is a long non-coding RNA of Scatophagus argus, 380 nucleotides long. RefSeq lists it as uncharacterized. The transcript is spliced from 3 exons. NCBI's taxonomy places the organism in Eukaryota, Metazoa, Chordata, Actinopteri, Scatophagidae. The record is from RefSeq and is a predicted model, not a curated record.